Long non-coding RNA from Ctenopharyngodon idella (grass carp), 4839 nucleotides. RefSeq lists it as uncharacterized. The record is from RefSeq and is a predicted model, not a curated record. The transcript has 2 exons. NCBI's taxonomy places the organism in Eukaryota, Metazoa, Chordata, Actinopteri, Cypriniformes, Xenocyprididae.
ACGUACACAUUUCCGGAUAGAGCGUCCGCUAGCGGCGUCACAGCGAAUAAUCAUGCAUUUGUUUUUUAAUCCAUAAAUGUAUAUUUAUAUUCAUACUAAGUUUUCUUUUCUAUAUGUGAUACACAUUCUCUUAAUCAUUAAUAUUUUAUUUCUCAUCAAACAACAUUCCUUCAAAAUGGCUCCAGUCCAGAUGUGGCCAUAGUUACUAUGCAUUUGGUCUCCUGUCAGCAGCUGAGGUGAAAACAGGCUUUCGCCUGAAGGGAAAACAGAGCAAGAAGUGAACUUUCUAACAAGCCAGAGAAGAGUAGGGAAAGAUGUCCCUGAACGCGAGGAACAACAACCCCAUUCAGGUUCAAACUCUCCCUCUGGCUCCUGUGAGAUAUGCAGAUGCUUUGAACACAUCCACAAGCUACAGCUGUUUGUGGCCAAGCACUGCAUUAUUAAUCAUGACAAUUCCCUUUUUCAGUUUCUGAGGUUUACUUGAACCGCAGCCGAGGGAGAAUCCUUGAGUGUGUGCGAGUUUGAGGGUCCGUGUCUCCCUUUAAGGCAAAGCCGAAGAAAUCUCAUUAAUAUCUGAGGGUGAGACACCACUGCAGGUGAAUACAAACACAAACACCUGCCAGAGUGGGCUUUCCUUGAGUGAUGGCUCUCACAGCGAGAAUGAAAGGACCCGAUCUUCUUAUUUUCCCAGCAUGUGGAAAAUCUGAGCUGUUUUUUCGAGGCUCAAGUCCAGUUGCAUGGAAUCGUGACUAAGUUAAUUCAGUGCUCAUGCAGGGGGGCCGCACGGUCUGAUCGGAUUAAUUCGGUUAUAGAAUCACGGGUAGCAGAAGCUCUUAUGAAACAGAGAGUCUCACACGCAGACCUGCUCUUCCCCGUGUUUAACUAGAAGACAGAGACUCAUAUAAUGCUUAUUACUGGGACUUUAUGAAUUUACAUAAGUCAAGAGGCAUAAAAGGUGAAGGGUUUAUAUUUAAACUGUGUCGUCAUCUCCUCUAAAAAUCUAAUAAGGAAGAGGUGUGAUUAGAUUUCUGUCUGCUGUGUAAAUCGUGAGGGGAUUUCUGAUAAUCUGAUUGAAAUAUUUCAGUUUGGCACUGGCGCUUUAGAUCCAUUUGGUGGGCUCAAGGCUCCAGAUGUGUUGGUUUUGAUACUGUCCUAUUCCUUUAUUGCUAUAAAAACAUCUUUUUGAAUGAUGUUCUCAUCUAAUUUUUCUUCAACAGACCCACUUUAAGUCCUCAUUGGAGGUCUUAAAAUGACAACACAAUGCUUAUACUGUACGGGCCUGCACAAAUACCCACAUUUGCGGUCUUGGCCACUUGAGAGCAUGUGCACAUGACAGGAAGUAAGUGCCAAAGUGCAGUGCCCUGAACACACACUAUAGCUGCGUUCCAUUUGACAGGAUCCCUACGCAGUGUUCACUGCUCCCUACUUACUCCCUAUGCCAUUCGCAGUGCCCUUCGAACUGAACAUGUUCGCUCCCUUCGGAUUGGAAUCUCACUAAAGAUGGCGAAAUACCCUGUGAAGUCCACUUACGGUCAAAUGGAACGCACCUUAUGGCUGUGUUCCAAUUCAGAAACUGCAUCCUUCGAAGGCCACAUUUGAAGGCCGAUUGCGUCACCGCGACGAGACAAAGGCUGUCCCAAUUCGAAGUCUCCUUCAAAUACCCUGUGAAGUACACUUUGCAGUCCACUUACGGUCAAAUGGAACACACAGAUGUCUGUGUUCCAAUUCAGAAACUGCAUCCUUUGAAGGCCGAUUGGGUCACCGCAACGCGACAAAGGCUGUCCCAAUUCGAAGUCUCCUUCAAAUGCAAACUGAACAUGUUCGCUCCCUUCAGAUUGGAAUCUCACUUAAGAUGGUGAAAUACCCUGUGAAGUCCACUUCGCAGUCCACUUACGGUCAAAUGGAACGCGCCUUAUGGCUGCGUUCCAAUUCAGAACCCACAUUCUUCAAAAGCCGUAUUCGAAGGCUGAUUGCGUCACCACAACGAAGGCUGUCCCAAUUCAAAAUCUCCUUCAAAUGCGGCCUCCAAAUGCGUUCUUCGUUUCCCGUGAAAUGGAGAAUACAACAGAUGGAUCCUUUGCAGCUUUGCCUACCCCAGAAUUCAUUGUGCACCAGUGAUGACAGGAUUUUUUUGAGAGAAAUUGCCGAAUUACACAUUUAAACGUAAGUAUUGGGUUUCGACUUACUCAAAUAUCUAAUGAUACAAAUUAGUUCAAAUGUUGACAUAUCUUACUAAGAUGUGAUUAUAUAUAGUUUACACUCUUUAUUAUAUGCAGAAAUGGACCAUGGUGAACAUAUUUAGACAGUUUCUGAACCCUGUUUUGUUUUUAGACCGUUUAAUGUAACUUUAAAAAAAAAAAAAAAGUCCAGUACAAACGUUACUGCCACAUCAAUGGCAGCUGCACAGUUGCUAGGCGACAAGAACAGCCCUCCAUAGGCUAGAAUGUCCCAUGCUCUUCAAAGGCCUUUGAAGUCCGAGUCCUUCGAAGGAUGCAGCCUCUGAAUUGGGACGCAGCCUGUCGCUAAGUGUAUCCCAUCAUGCAUCAUGUUCGGGAACUCACGUACCUCAAAAUAGAGAUGUCAAGGAAAACAUUCCACUGAGUUAAAGUAAUUCGAUAUUACAUUAAAUAAUUGAUAGUAAAACAAAGUGUUGCACAUUUUAUUGGUGCAAAGAUGAGUAUGUGUAUUUUGUACAACAUUUGCAACUGCUUUUUAUCACUUAAUUAGAAGCACCACAAUUUUUAAAUUGUGUCUUCUGUUACAUAGGAACUACAAAACAGACAUUUAGAAGUUUAUUUUAAAAUGCAAAGUAUUGAAAAUCAAAAUAAAGCUGUGUAUUUUUGCAACACUAUAAGCGUGUCCCAUCGGGUAAUCAAAUGUUCUACACAUACUAGCAGUCUUCAUCCCUACUUGAACACUUGGGCCAAAUACAGGGAGUACGUCAUGUAAGUAGACAAGUGGUCAAGUGCAAAGAACGCAAAUGUGGGUAUUAGGACAGGCCCUUUAUUUUUAUAAUUGUCUCUUCAGAAGCAGAUAAAAAUAUAAUUUUAUAACCCAAACAAAUAGAGGAUCCUGAUUUAAAUCUGUAUAAUAGUUUUAAUGAAAUCAGUUUUUUUUCAAUCACAAAGCAACCUAAAGUCAUUUGUUUUCAGUGAACGCUGCUGAUUUAAUUCAACAUGAGCGACAGCUUUAUGUAAAUCUAGAUUUUUUGACCAAUGGUAUUUCACUAUGGGCGGAGCUACAAAACAGGCUGCAUCUGAAAUCACAUACUUCCCUACUAUAUAGUAGGCGAAAAACAGUAUGUGACAAAAGAAGUAUGUCAGAAUUCACAGUACUCAUGAAAGAGGCAAAAAGUAUCCGGAUGACCUACUACUUUCGGUGAGAUUCUGAAGUGUGCAUAUGAUGGAUACGUUACUAUCCCAUGAGGCCACAGGAGAGGAUUUGUGAAUGGCAUCUGACACUGGUAGGUCACAUGGUAAUGACAGCAUGAUGAAUGUAGUACGUCUGGAUUACAUUCAUACUAUAUAGAACAUACUUGUUUUGCUGUUGCAAAUAAAUGACUUGUUCAAAACAUGUACCUACUCAAUAGAGUAUGCGAUUUCGGACACAGCCUUACAUUAAUGGCGAUUUUUCCUUUUACUAUUGAUUGCUACAAGGCGUUCUCAUUGGUUCCCAUCACUGCUUAUUUGCAUAAAUUUGAACUUUACUUUGUUACAUUUUAUAACUAGAGGAGAAAACACUUCCCAUAUUUUUUUAUUAUUGCUGUCAACUCGCUCGUUAAACGCUAAUCAAACCAAGCAGAUGUUUAGGUUGUGUAACACACCUUCAUCCACAAAAAACAUGACCAAAACUAUAUGAAAAUAGGAUAAACAUGGUUUGUGUGGUUAAUAUUGGCUGCUGAGAACAUGAAAUCAAUUCAAGAGACAUUUAAAAACCAUAGACUUAAUUUUGAAUAUUGUCCUCACCUGACAAAAUCUGGCUUUCAAAGCUUCUUCCUGGUGCUCCGCUCUCCAUUAAAGACAAAGUUCUGUGCUGACACCAAAAUGUCAUGUAGAUUUCAUCAUUAAAGGUCACAUAAUGUCUUUAUGGCACCUGAUUCAUUACAGACCCUGUAGAUCAGGGGCCAGAAAAGAGGCGAAACCGAACACUUGAGAAAUGGACGUGUAUAUUUAUUCACACAAGGAUCAGACGGCAUGUUGGACCUGUGGCGGCACAGUUCACACAUACGACAUCAGUCCUCUGAGAGCCCGAAAGAACACUCAUCGUCCUCCGCAAUCCCAGAAUACUUUGCUCUCUACACAUUCACAAGUGAAAGGGUGAAAAAAAAAAUGUCGACAACAACAAACAAGUUUUUUCAGAGCAUAACGCACAGGAGAACAGUGUAGACAGAUUUGCAUUUUAAUACAAAGGCAUAUAUUUUCUUUAGGACAUAAAAUAAAGAUAUUAACUGCACAGCAGUAAGAAAAGGUCGUGUACAGAUUGUUUGUUCAUACACACCAUUGAAACACAAUUUCGGGUCGGUACAAUAAUAAAAACAUUUGUGCUAAUCAAUAAUUCGUUUUGCAUAAAGACCAAACGUAAUGGCAGCUGUCCAGAGGGAACGUUUUGACAUUCUCCUCCGCACAUUUAUUCAGCUCGAGCGUUUUUCCCAAUGCAGUAAAACUCCUAAAAAGCACACGCACACACACUCACCACAAACACCCAAAAGAUCUGCACGGUAUUAAAAACGGCGCUUUUGCUCUAUACAUACAGCAUGUUCAAAUAUAUUGGCAUAUUCUGGCUACAGCACACCUCUGAAUACUGCACUUACUGAUGUCUAACACCACACUUCACGUACGC